UUUGUAAGUAAUUUAUCCCUUCUCUCUUAUUAAAAUAAAUGUAUAUGUUGGGUAGUCUGUACUACCUGCUGUCAAAUAUCCUUGGCUUUCUGUAUUUAAACCUUGUGUCUUGGCAGUAGGAGAAUUUGACUUCUGAUCAUUGAGCAUCACUAAACUUCCAUACAACUAAUGAAGCAGACUCCUGUUAUGAAGGGCUGUUACGGGGAGCUCUGCAAAUCACAGGUAGUCAAGGACUUCUCGACAUCCCAUGCUCUACCAAGUGCACAAGAAUACCACUGUUUGGAACAAAUGGAUUAUCUGUACCACGAUGCUGCCACUUGGGUGCUGUAAAGCAUCCACAGUGGUAAAGAGGAAUCUGUUGCUUCCUUUGAAAAUCCUCGGACAGAAGAAGCUCUGGUUUGUGUACAAGGUCUAGCAAACCACAUAAUUCUCUGAGGCUUUGUCUCCAACCUUUGCUGCGUUAUAUUGGUCUGGCUGCCAGCUCCAAGUGCUUUGUUUUAUUUGCUGUUUGGUGACUGCUACACUCCAGCCAUCUCCAUGUGUGAGUCAAAAGAAUGCAACAUCAAGCAAGCUAUGCUUUCAAUAGCAUCUUCCAGAAGAACUCGGAUACUUUCAGUCUCUCUGCAUUUGUUUUUUUUGGGUAAGAAAAGAACUGUUGUUUCAAUGAUUAUCUUGAGAAUUUUUAAGUAAACAUGAACAGUUGCAUGAACUGACUUUAUGUCUGUGACCAGUCUUAGUAUGAUACAAUCCAGUGAUCAAGUACAAAAUACACAGCUCAUGCCCGUCUGUCUUUACGUAGCACAUAGUUUUGUCUAGCAGGGUGUAUCAUGCAUAUGUAUUUAAGUAUGUUUAAAUAUUUCCUGGCAGUAUAAGACAGGGCUGUAACAGCUAUCAAUGCUGCAAAUUGCACUGAACAUUUUAUGAACUCAGAAUUUAUGUUGCUGUUUAGUUUUGUUUUGCUUUUCUGCCAUGUGUUUUCUUAGAAAGGCCUCAAGCUGACAAUGUAUCAAGUGAGUUCUAAGUUAACAACUUUAGUGCCUUAUUUUAUAUUUCUAAAAAUUAUGUUGGAGAAUUUAGUACCUGUGAAACUCUAAUAGCUUUAGGGCUAAAUUCAAUACAAGGAUCUAUAGCAGCACAGCUAGCACACACCAUGACAGAAAAAUAAGCUGCAACUCUGUUUUCUCAGAAGGAGUUGCGUAAGUCAAACCCAAGUGCAAAAAUUGUGAGUUUCUGGUAAAUAUAGAGACACAGGAGGCACUGUCCCAUAUGGGCUGCAGAGCUCAUUCAAGCACUCUUCCAGCUGCUGCCAUGUAGGAAAGGAUUCCCGGUCCCUUCCUCCCUGGCUUAUUUUGGAGAAGAGGCUUUCUGGAUGUAGGCACCUCAGCUGUCACAGGAGAGUGUAACUAAUAUCUCUCCAAAUGACUAUAUAGCUUGACUAUAGCCUAACUCCACAGCACAGAUCUUCCUCACCUACCACCUCCAUAUUGGCUAGCAGCAUAACUGCUUUUCUGGCCAUGUUUGUCCCAAUCGAGUAACAAAACAAGUGGCAGAUGUGUAAUAACCCUUGUAAAUAUAUAUAUAUAUAUAUAUAUAUAUGGAGACUAUAAAUCCCACAAUAUCAUUUGCAUGUCUGAGAUCAUCUGACCUUCAUAGAUCUGACAUAAUGCACUGUUAUUUCAUACCCUAUUGGUUUUAUUUUUUGUGUAGCAGAUGUUUCUUGCUUGUUGUCUGUGUGAAGGUCUAGCACAUGGGAUUCUGAAAACAAAGGUUUCAUCAAUUCACACACGCUUGAAGUAGUUGUAUUUUUACACUUCUUGCUGAGCACAUAAUGGAUGCAAAUUCCCUGCUUCACCAUGUAGGAAAACGGCUUACACAAAGAGUUUUCUCUCUCUCUGUAGUGUAUUUCAACAAAGCCAGCUCUCUGCUUGCUCUUUUACCCAAUUUACUACCCUCUUGCCCAUGAGAAAAGACCGGGGAAGCUACCUUUCUUGCAGUUUUUAUUGCAUUUGGAACUAGCCUCUUAGCCUCCUCCCUAGGUUUAAUUUUUGACUAAGAUAAGCUAUUUGAGGAGACAGAUCCAAGGACAAAUUGCUACAAGUGAAAACAGACCCCAGACCCUAGGGAGUUCUUAAUGAAAAAUCUCGAUCUUCAUAUUGCAUAGAAUUACCACCUUCCUUGCUCACUGUCCAGCGAGCACUUUUCUCAGAGAGGGUGUUUAGGCAAGAAGUGGAGUUAUCCAUUGUCUCAUGUAUUUUUUUCACAGAAAGAGAUGACAUGGCUCUAUUGAGAUCCUUUUCCACUUCGUUAACAACUUAAUCUUUUCCUACAAAUUAGUAAAUCUUCAUUAGGUAAACUGAGAUGCCUGUUCUGCAGCAGAGGAUUUGUCUGUGCUUGUAAUCUGUGGAAGAUGUAUUCUAGCAUCCAAAUAGUUCCCCUUUUUUUGUAAGAAGAGAAGCUCAGGGAAUACGCAUGCCCGUUAGCCAUAUUUACAGUGGCUUUCACCUGCUCUUCUGCAUCACCACUGCUCUGUGGUGUUCUCCACAGGGAAGGAAUUUCAACUGUAGAGAGGUGACCUUAUGUAUCGUUAUUAAUUAACACUUCCACAUAGAAGUCAGCAACUCUAUCAAAGGCAUGCAGGGAGCCUGCUACUCAAGAUGUGCUACAGGCAGCCAAAACUCUGUCCAAAUGUGGGCAGUUCUUGCUUACAGCUUCUGCCAGGCUAAGCAGAAGAACAUGUAUAUGUCAGUCUCUAAGACAAAGGAUUAUUUCUGAGGAUAUUAAUGGAAAAGUUAUAUUGCCAGAAUAUGUAAUCUCCUGGCAUGUCUAAAUAGGGGAAAGUUCUUUUUUUUUUAAAAAAAAAACAUCUGAAGGACUCAGAAGAUUACAUUUUCUCUCAGAUAUUUUUUAGUUGCUCUGUCAGUCUAUGUGGUUAUCUCUUAACAUUAGAAAACUCAGAAAAAUAUGGGAUUGCUUUACAAUGUUGCUUGAGUUUAUAUGCAGUUCUGUCACAUAAGUCAGGCUCUAGAGGGAUCAGCUAACUUAGAAAUGAUCUCAAGGCUGCAGCAAGAACAUAACUACUUAUUUUUCAGUAUAACUGUUCUUUGAACCUUCAGCUUGAUCACAUAGCAUGGAUUUAUAACCUCCUUGAUGCUAAACCAGCAUUUUCAAUAUCGUCUGGAGGAGGGCCAUGGAUCUGCCUGCUAUGGGAUUAUCAAAUUAGCUUUCUGAUAAAUAGUAGGCAGUUAGACUGCCAAUAGUCUAAAGUAAUACUCAGGGAACAAAAUAAACUAUCUGUAGAAAAAAAAUCUUUUCCUUUAUUUCGUAAUAAUAAAUAACAAAAUACUGGUGUUCAAUAUCAACACUUGUGGAAGUAAGGCCUUGUACAUAAAGAUAAAAAGUUCUCUGGCAUAUAAAGAAAAAAAGAAAAAGAAAAAUACUCUUGCUGUUUCAAAUACUUUUUCCCCAUAUUCAGUAUCACUGUUGCAUGGCAAGAGGACUGGAUGAGCUGCUCUAGAUGGUGUAACCAGCUGGCAACUGGCAUUAGGUUCCUCUGUAUUAAGGAGCCAUUUGAUCUCCCUCAUGUUUUCUUCUGGGAAUUGAUUUUCCUCUAACCUUCUCUCACUCAGGGCUCUUCAGAGGCUUUCUUUGGAGAUGCUUGGCUUUGCUGCUUCUGGGGGCUUGACAACACAGGUGAAAUCCAAACUCGAGUACCUGAACCUAAGGACCAAGAAGGAAAGGGUGGUGCUACAGCCAUUAUUGCAUUGAGUCUAUUGGAUAUAGGUGGCCUCUGUGUCCCUUGGGUGGUGUAAGUGGCAUCUUAAGGAGAUGCUUCCUUCAGGCAGAGACAGGAGCCCUGUGCUACAAGACGUCCUUCACCCCUUGAGGGAGAAACACGCUCCCUAAAUGGAGGCUACGUCUGUUCUGCGGUGCCUCCCAGAUACUCGGCGUUCUCCAGUCUUGGAGGCUCAAUGUUGGCUCAAUUGUUCAAUCAAUGCUUGGGCAAUUUUAGACUCUGGCUGCACUAAGUCUUUUUACUUAAUGUAUAUUUAGACUAGGGAACAGUGCUGUUUUUCUUAUGGAAACAAUCUUGCUGAAUGACAGUAAGUGGUACCUAUUAAUUUAGCCUUUCCAACCUGUAAAACGUAUCACAAAUGGGAGGAAAAAUGCUUCCAGUGAGCUUUUCAAUUCCUUCAGAGGAGAAACAAGUUUGUGGUUAACAUAUAUAUGAUCCUGAACCCUGUGAGUUUGGCAUUUACUAGCUUUCUGCCCAUGAGGGAACCACAAAAGUACAUGUAGUGACUCCUCUUAUGGAAAUGUCAUCUCCUUCACCCUCCAAGAGUCAAAAAUGUUUCCAUUUAUGAAAAACAGACCAUCAAGUGGUGUGGUGGAACUUACCACCACAAAUGAAGAUCUUUGAUGAAAUCACAUGGAUAGGUUUGUUCAAACUGUACAGUAUAUAAUUUGCCUGUUCCACACAUGGAAAUGAAAGAAAUCAGUGUCAGAUGACCCUUGCAGGCUGGUGUGUGUUGUAUUGUUUAUUUAAACCGAUCAAGGAUGCUUAGGAUCUGUUGCACAGCUUAAUUCUUGCUGGAAAUGCAAAAUGGGAGAUAAAUAAUUAAGUAGUUGAAUAGUAAAAACAAUUUUUGCCUUUUUUUUUUUCUCUGCUUGCAGGAUGUAAUUAGGAGUAAAUGUUUCCACUGGGACUUAUUGACUGUAACUGUAAACUGUUUGCACUGACGGUGCUAAGUCCCAUCUAGAACAGAUCUGUUCAGUCUGAAGCCACUGUCCUAUUGGGAGAUCUUGCCCAAAAAGCUUUUUCUCAUUCAUACUAAUUUUAAAGCAAUCAUUUAAAUUACUCCCGUUGUACUGUUUUCCACAGAGCCUCUUAGAGUAAAGCAGCAUCAUUUUACUUCGUGAAAAUCCAUGAAAGUUUUUUCUCCUCAGCUUACAGCCAGGCAGGCUGGGAAGCUUUUUUCUUGGGGUUCAGGAUCUCAUGGAGAGAGGAAAUCUGCAAAAUCUCUCACAAUUCCCUGCAUUCAGUGCUGUGAGUAUUGCCACGUCGUUUAAUCCUACAGGUUAAUUUUUGCAAUUCAGUGUUUACACACCUUCAGCUAUCAGAUUGUAGCUGAUCUUCACCUGCAUACCACUCAAGACAGGUAAGUUUCUUAAACUAAUAAUAACUAAUAAACUAAUAAUAUUUUAAUAAUAAUAAUAUUCUAAUAAGAAUAUUUUAUAUAAUAUUAUAUAUAUAAUAUAAUCUAAUAUAAACUAAUAUUAGAACACAUCUUAUAGAGGGAAUGCAUAGAAUGUUAUUAGAGAAAAAACUUAAGGUAGAACAGAUGCUAAUGAAGCUUCAUCAAACCGCUAAUAUAAUUUAGCAACACAAGUGGAUUUUAGUGACCAAACAUAUUAAAAAAAAAAUUCAGAAAAAGCAUUUAAUACAUAAUCUUGAUAAAGUACCAGUGGUGAGUUAGGCUCUGUAAGUAAACGUGGGAAAUGCACCACUGAAUUUUAGCUUCAGUGGAAAUUUACAUAGCUGAUAGCAACAUAAUAAUAAAUGUACUUAAUUCCUUUUUUUUAAGUUGCUACUUGCUACUUAUUUCUUCAAUGCAUAUUAUUUUUUUUUUUCCUGUCAGUUACUAGGCAGAAUGUACCAACACCAAAAACUUAUCUGCGUACUUCAUUCCACUUUUGAUGGGUAACUUUCAGGAAGCAAUGGUUCCUUAGCAGUCCUUUGGGAACUUUUCUACUUUUGCUUUUAUUUUGUGAAGGUAACAGACAUAAAAUAUGGGUCCCUUGGACAAAUGUGUUUUAUUCAAAUUAGAGAAAAUUAAAAGGCAGUUUUCUAAUUCUACCUUGAAGUGUUUCUUAAACGUCCAUGAAGCUUUGUUAACAAGUAGUUCUUUACCAACUAAGCAUCAAAAACAGUGAAAGCAAGUCAGUCUCAGCUUCUCCCCAGUCGUGAACUGAAUGAGUCGGGAUAAGAAUUAUCUCAGGCUAAGCAGAUAUUAGGCAAAAGGCUUUGGACUAAUAUUAAAUUUUUAAAAAGACUAUAACCAUUGAAUCCAUAAGGGCAAGUGAGUUCAGGUAGUAUCAGUUAUGGCUUGUCUCUGUGUUUAAGACACAAACUGGAUGUAAGAGGAACCGAAAGCAGGUCUGGAUCCCACAUUGCUGAAUGGCAAAUCUUGAAACAGGAAUAACUGCUUACCUUCUAAAUGGCAAUAUGCUGCAAGACUUGUCUGCUGAAAAUAUGGUGAGAACAGUUCCUAGGGGACGUAUAAUGAAACCACAAUAAAUCUGAAGCACAGGAGACUGAACAGAAAAAGAAACACCCUCUGUGUACACUAGAACAGUUACUUUAUUAUGAUAAACUGGAGCUGUAGCAGAGCUGUGAACUUUGUCAAACAAGGCACCCCACAAGCCUUGAGAUUUCGCCACUGCUUUUCAGUAUACUGUGCUUCAAUCAAGUGAAUAAAGGCUUAGAUGGAGGGGGCAGCAAGGCAGCGCCGUGACAACACAGCACUGUGCCCCACCAAGGCAGCAGGAGAUACAGACUUCCGGAAGGGCAGGAAUGGCUGGGAAUGCUGUUGUGAACAAAUGAUCCCCUGUAGCUCUGUGCUUCAGCAUCUCUGAUGGAUGUAUUGGCAAGCCGACUGCCACCAAUGUUAUCAAACAUUUCUGUACAGACAAAGAAGAACAAAAAAUAGCGCUCUCAUUUCUUGUUACAUGUCCAUAGCCAUUCCUGCCCAGAUUAAUGAAGUCAUCGUUAAUUUAGAAAAGCGUGUCUCGUAUAUCUCUUUAUAUAAACGCUGCCUCAGAGGUGACAUUUCAGUGCACCACCUGCCUGAGAGCCUCCCACUGUGUUAACCGAAGACAUGGGUGGUCUCCAGACACCAACUGCAGUCGUGCAGCCAAAGCAGCUGACACUGCACCUCUAGCUGUGCUUAUAGGGACUUGGAAACAGAUAAGGCUAUAUUAGUAAGUAAAGACUGUAGUGAAGCUAACUUAAAGUAGCUUUUAAUCGUUGCUAAUUAAAAUCUGCAGUUGAGAUCCUUAACUUUUUUUUUUUUUUUUUUUUUUUUUUUUUUCUGUUUCAUGAAUACUUCUGCAGCUUUGGGUGCAAUCCAAUCCCAUUGACUUAAAAAUCUGGCUGGAGAAUGCCACUUUUGCUGACAGUCAGAGAGGCUACCUGACACAAGAGGAAUCCAAAACUCAACAGGGGCUUCCUAGACUAACUUAACACUCCCACUGAACUCACACAAGCCUCCUGCAUGUAGCACAGGCAUUGAAGAGUCAGCAGGCACUGUGCAUCCAGCUCCAGCAUGAGAUGAUAUGACCACAGUUUUUUCUUCUUUACCAGGAUCAAAGCACUGCUGUCACAGCUCAAGUGCUCCUAUAGCCAGAGUGGAGAUGAGCCUCCAAGCAAAAUAAUCUGCAGCCUCGGGGGACCUUUGGACUUGGCACUUGAGCUUCACUCCAUAAGCAUCUCUUUUGCCAGCAUGUCUGAGCUAGAAAUAGCAAACAUGGACAUGACAGCCGAGGAAAAUGAGAGCAGAAUGAAGAUGUAUCUGUCACAGAUCUGCAAAUCUGCCUAGGGUGGGAAAAAAGCUAUGAUAGAAUAUGAGAACAGAGAGAUUUCAAGUGGUUCAGCUGCCUGGGAUGCUCCUGGAUUCCAUACGUGUUGUCACCAGUCCAAGAGACUCCUGCAGAAUACAGACUGGAAAUAUAAGAAUGGAAUCAGCAUUUAGGUGCCAAAUGACUCAUGCUAAAAUUCUGUCAUCUGCAAAGGUAUUGCUCAUUUUUAUACCUGCAAAAGCCUGAAGACAAAAAUAGAGGUAAGAAUUUGUGAAUCCACUGAGAAAUGAGACAGUUGUAAACAGAGACACCAAAAUUAUUCUAUUUUUACAGAAAAUACUGUUUACUCUCUCCAAUAUUUCCUUAUAGCUCCUGGGUGCUAGCUGAGGACAUGAGUCAUAUCCUUGCGUGCCCUCUCAAGGAUUGUGCUGGGCCUCACCAGUGUCCUCUAGCCAGCGGACAAAGACAUGCAUUCAAAAGCUGGACUUUCCCUUUGGUACCACGAGUUACCAGAAUAACUCCUUAGAAAAGUAACUUUAGCAAAUUGUCAGAGUUCUGAAGACUUACACUCUUUUCACUGUACCUGAGAUGACUGCCUGCUUCUUACUAAAAUGUGCAGCAAAGAAAUUAUUUUACAUAUUAUGUGUAUGUAUUUUCUUGGCAUAUUCACAAACACAUCUGACAUUCUCCUUUACAAAUUUGUGAUCUGGCUCUGAUGAUUGGCUGUGGUAGAUAUUAAAAUAUAAAGGAGAAAUAUUUAGAAACAAGGUUUCUGAGAACAGGCCAGUAGAAAAGUCAAUGACUGAGAUUCAGCUAAAGGCAUUUGAACAAAUUACGUAACAAAAUAAGGUAUAGAAGGAGAGAUAUAUAAAUCUGGGAAAUUCUUAUUAAGACAGUGAAGAAAGGCUGUUAUUGGCUUUUGUUUUUGUGCUCUUAGAAAGACUUUUCCCUUCAGAUUCCAUAGCCCAUGUCCCCACACCAACUUAUUUUUUGUGUUAUACCUUAGGCAACAGGAAACUUUUCUGAGGCCUCUCAAUAUUACUCUAGUCUUAAUUGUGGGGUUUUAGUCCCAAUGCUGACAUUCGUUUUCUAUGAGCAUGAGUAAGCAAUUCAAGUGUAUCUGAUUCGAAGUUCAGCAAACUAUAAACUGAUGAAUAUUAUCUUUGUUGUCAUUACAGAGAGAUUAUCACACUUUCAGUUUAGUGGAAAAUAUUGUCAUAUUUAUAGUAAAGACAUAAGAACUCUUCUGCUCUUUUAUUUAAGAUCACAUGGAUCAGAAAAUUUACUAAAGAGCAUCCAAGACCACCUGUUUCGCUGUCAGCUUUUUCACUUAUAUGUGAGUCUUCUACAAUUUUACUUUGUUAUUUGAAGUCUGGUCUGCCAAGUUAUUUUCUUUCUUAUUUAGCCGUUUGCCUCCAAUAUGCUGACCUGAACUUCAACAUGUAUUUUUUCUGCACCAUUGAGUGCACUAGACUCAGGAACCAGUGCAUCACCUUUUACACAAAUAUCUUUAUUCCCUCCUAACCCUUUUCUGUUUUGGCAUUAGCACAUAGUGUUAUCACAAAGUUAUGAAAGGUUAAUCACAUAUGACAAUACAAGUAUCAAGCAGAAAUAUUAACUAGAUUAUUGUCUGCUCAUGCGUACACUAAUUAUAUAUAACAUGGAGACCUUUUACAUAAUAGUUAUGCUUCACUAGUGCCUGUUCAGCAUUGCAGAGAAGUGAAGAGAAAAUACUUUUCAGAGUGGUGGAUUUCUUAUGACAGAUUUUAGGUUGUCAUGCCCUCUGUCAUGAUGCCUCAACAACUUCAGAGAGGUUGCCCAUCCUUUAGAGAUCCAGCAACAGAAGUGAUGACAGAUUUUUGAAACUUUAUAAACACUUUUUGUGCUCCAAAGCAGCCUGGAAAACAGUUGCUGCACAGGGGGGUUACUGAGUGCCACUGGGCUGUGCUGGCAGCCUGGCUGGGUUGGACAGACCCGGUGAGUGAGGAUUCAGACUGUGUGCUUGGGGUGAAAAGAGCACAAAUACUUUGUUCAGGUAUAGUCAAGGCAGUGGGUUUGAACCCCAUCAGAUCUAGGGACUUAAAGGCAAAUUGGCUUAAUCAUGAGUUUAGUGACUCAGAGUACCGAAGUGGCGGGGAAUCCAUGUUUCAGAAAAUACUGGUCUAGGAGUAGUUUGUAAAUAAGUCAGGAUAAAAAUUUAGUUGUGAAGUAAGGAAGUGUCUUGAGGUUUCACUAUGACAUUGAUUCCUGAGGCAAAGAUGGUGUCCAGAAGGAGCAAAACCAGCAGCCUGGUGAUUUCUGUACAGGCAGACAUGUUACAGAGAUCAAAGCAAGAAAGCAAUAAUAACAACCAAAUGGUACUAUUCUGUGUAUCUUUGUACAUUACACUUAGAAACAAAAGCUUCUUUUGGCAUUCCAGAUUCAAUAUACUCCUUGGAGUUGCUUGAUUUUGAUUAUUUUUUCUUUCUUUUUUUUUUUUUUUUUGUAAGCAAGUUGUUUAGGCACUGAAGGGAAGAUGUAUGCUUAGCUAUUUAAAUAUAUUGUCAAUGUUUGUUUUUAAAGGAGUUGUCAAGACACUUAUAUUCCUUUAAAAUACUUUUUAGUCUAAACAGCUGCCACAUGCAUUCAAUUUUAACAGCUUUUCAUAUUGGUGUCUCAAAAGGCAGCAAAGUAUAUUUUUGAAGUACAUUUUUAUUAGUUAGUUAACUGAAGUCCCUUCUCAUGUUUACAUGUGUAUAGCACCAGCAGUAUAUUGUUUUGCUAUACUUGAAAAAGUAGGGUUUGGAAGGGUAUUGACAGUGAUAACCUAUGAACACUAUCAGCUCAUAUGACUAGUAUUGCAGGAGGUAAUGCUGGAGAAGAUGUGCAGUAGUAGCUUAUGGAGUGGCUCUGAGCAAUGCAGGAAAUAUGCAAGUGUUUGAAAUGAUUUUGUUCUUCUUGCUUUCAGUCAGGAUGCUGUCAUAUAGAAA
Columba livia (rock pigeon) is the source of this 10544-nucleotide long non-coding RNA. RefSeq lists it as uncharacterized. Lineage: Eukaryota; Metazoa; Chordata; Aves; Columbiformes; Columbidae. The record is from RefSeq and is a predicted model, not a curated record. The transcript is spliced from 7 exons.